GAGUAACUGCGAGUGAAAAGGGAUGAGCCCAGCGCAAAAGAUGGCUUCACGUUUGUGUUGUUAUCGGUGUUGCGUAUAGAGGCGUCGUUCGUUUUCGUGCGUUUGGUCUAAGUUUCGCUGGAAUGCGGCCACAUAGAUGGUUUUAUGCCAGUCUGAUUGAAUCGUGCGUUAACGAGUGUCGUUUCUUGGAGUCGGGUUGUUUGGAAUCGCAGCCCAAAGUGGAUGGUAAACUUCAUCUAAGGCUAAAUACGACCACGAAACCAAUAGCGAACAAGUACCGUGAGGGAAAGUUGAAAAGUACUUUGAAAAGAGAGUGCAAGAGAACGUGAAAUCGAUAUAAUGGAAGCGAAUGAAGUCGACGUAUCUAACACGUAUUCAGUCGUUCGAAUUGAGGCAAUCGUCCGAGAUCGUUACAUUCCGCAAGGUUGUCGGUUUUGAUGUUGUUGUUUUGUUCGGCGACGCAUUUGCGUGUAGAGUGCGACGGGUCGGCUGGUGCCGUUGGUGGAAGCCGUCGGAGAGGGCGUGCGAUUUAACGAUCGAACGUAACCUACGACUAUUUGGCGGAGACCUGAUUGGUGCUAGUUGAUUUGUUUUCGUUUUGAAUGCUGGUGAAUUCGGUUUUGUUUUGGGUGUUCGUUGCGGCUAGGCGUUGAACGCAUGCGUACGGCGUUUAGUUGUGCGGACAUUUUGAAUGAAACAACAGUCAUUCAACCGGUCGUAUAGUCGGUCACUCAUUCGACCCGUCUUGAAACACGGACCAAGGAGUUUAUAGUACACGCAAGUCAUUGAGUGUUUGCAAAGCUCAAAGGCGUAAUGAAAGUGAAAUCGUUUCAACGAUUCGAACGUGAUCGGUUAGUUUCAUUUAGUUGGCUGGCCGAGCAACGUUACCCCAUUCCGUGAACUUGUUCUGGUGUGGAGGUUGAGCGUGUGCAAUGAGACCCGAAAGAUGGUGAACUAUGCCUGAACAGGACGAAGCCAGAGGAAACUCUGGUGGAAGUCCGAAGCGGUUCUGACGUGCAAAUCGAUCGUCUGAUUUUGGUAUAGGGGCGAAAGACUAAUC
RNAcentral lists this ribosomal RNA (1060 nucleotides) under Ektaphelenchus apophysatus. RNAcentral's name for it is "partial large subunit ribosomal RNA". It matches the Rfam family "Eukaryotic large subunit ribosomal RNA", at positions 81 to 936 of the family's 3401-position model. Lineage: Eukaryota; Metazoa; Nematoda; Chromadorea; Rhabditida; Aphelenchoididae. The record is from RNAcentral.